Molecule: ribosomal RNA, 425 nt
Filed under: uncultured bacterium
Lineage: Bacteria
Description: bacterial SSU rRNA
Rfam family: Bacterial small subunit ribosomal RNA
Source: RNAcentral
GGGAAUAUUGGACAAUGGGCGCAAGCCUGGUCCAGCCAUGCCGCGUGAGUGAAGAAGGCCCUCGGGUUGUAAAGCUCUUUUGUCCGGAAAGAAAAGCAUCGGGUUAAUACCCCGGUGUUCUGACGGUACCGGAAGAAUAAGCAUCGGCUAACUUCGUGCCAGCAGCCGCGGUAAGACGAAGGAUGCAAGCGUUAUCCGGAUUCAUUGGGUUUAAAGGGUGCGUAGGCGGGCUUGUAAGUCAGUGGUGAAAUCUCUCAGCUUAACUGAGAAACUGCCAUUGAUACUGCAGGGCUAGAGUAUAGAUGACGUUGGCGGAAUAUGACAUGUAGUGGUGAAAUACUUAGAUAUGUCAUAGAACACCGAUUGCGAAGGCAGCUAACGAAACUAUAACUGACGCUGAGGCACGAAAGUGCGGGGAUCAAACA